This 274-nucleotide ribosomal RNA is filed under the name uncultured bacterium. RNAcentral's name for it is "partial 16S ribosomal RNA". It matches the Rfam family "Bacterial small subunit ribosomal RNA", at positions 523 to 796 of the family's 1533-position model. The record is from RNAcentral.
AGACGAACCGUACGAACGUUAUUCGGAAUUACUGGGCUUAAAGGGUGCGUAGGCUGCACGGAAAGUUGGGUGUGAAAGCCCUCAGCUCAACUGAGGAAUUGCAUCCAAAACUGCCGUGCUUGAGGGAGACAGAGGUGAGCGGAACUCAAGGUGGAGCGGUGAAAUGCGUUGAUAUCUUGAGGAACACCGGUGGCGAAAGCGGCUCACUGGGUCUCUUCUGACGCUGAGGCACGAAAGCUAAGGUAGCAAACGGGAUUAGAAACCCCGGUAGUCC